AAAACAGUGCACAUACAGAUUCCUACCAACAUGACCACAUAUAAAAGAAAAAGUGGUUGUGGUGGUUGGAGUAACCUUUUAAAUUCACCUUUAGUGGCGCUCAUAUUGACAGCCACAAGAGGAGCUUUUGCUGCACUAAUUGAGUGAAACUCAGACGUGAUGCAGAAGCCCAUAGGAAAGCAGUGAAUUUAAUGCUUUCCUAUGGAGAAGAUUGAAUGCGUGCUUAUUGUUCGCCACACAUGUGCUUUAGGUCCCCAAUGCUCCUUCAUGCUGAUCGUUAGAUUGGACCGUCACUGAGAGGUCAUGCCUCUUAGAUGGUGUUGUAGGAGACGAGUGGUAUCGAGGGAGCCUCACUUGCAAAAGUGCAGUUUUUAUGAGAAAUUAGAUCGCCAGGGAGGUUUGCUUCCUUCCGUUAGCUCCCCUCUACUCGAGUGUGUAUGCCUUCUCCUUACAUACAUCAGAUCAGCAUUCUUCCUGAACGCUGCUGACGUGCGCGCGCAAAGAGGGACAGAUUCAGAGGCUUCUCAAUAGUUAUUUCACCGUGAUAAGAGUUAAAGUCUUUUCUGGGAAAGAAUUGUAGCUUUUGCAAGCAUGCAUGCAUGUUUUCAUUGGGGGCUUAUUUACAAAAUAGCAAUCCCC
Molecule: non-coding RNA, 639 nt
Organism: Pelobates cultripes (western spadefoot toad)
Lineage: Eukaryota; Metazoa; Chordata; Amphibia; Anura; Pelobatidae
Source: the annotation of a GenBank genome assembly